This 173-nucleotide ribosomal RNA is filed under the name uncultured bacterium. RNAcentral's name for it is "partial 16S ribosomal RNA". It matches the Rfam family "Bacterial small subunit ribosomal RNA", at positions 357 to 525 of the family's 1533-position model. The record is from RNAcentral.
GGGGAAAUUGGCCAUGGGCGAAGCCUGAUCCAGCCUGCCGCGUGUGUGAAGAAGGUCUUCGGAUUGUAAAGCACUUUAAGUUGGGAGGAAGGGCAGUAAAUUAAUACUUUGCUGUUUUGACGUUACCGACAGAAUAAGCACCGGCUAACUCUGUGCCAGCAGCCGCGGUAAUA